This 85-nucleotide ribosomal RNA is filed under the name Microcebus murinus (gray mouse lemur). Lineage: Eukaryota; Metazoa; Chordata; Mammalia; Primates; Cheirogaleidae. The record is from RNAcentral.
GUCCACGGCCAUACCACCCUGAAUGCUCCCGAUCUCGUCUGAUCUUGGGAGUUAAGCAGGGUCGGGCCUGGUUAGUGCUGGGAUA